Long non-coding RNA from Neogale vison (American mink), 336 nucleotides. RefSeq lists it as uncharacterized. The transcript is spliced from 4 exons. The record is from RefSeq and is a predicted model, not a curated record. Lineage: Eukaryota; Metazoa; Chordata; Mammalia; Carnivora; Mustelidae.
GUAAAUAUUUAUUGCGCAUGUAUUCCAGACAUGGUCUUUGUUCUCCCAGACCUCACAGUACCCUGGAGGAAACAGAAUUCCUGUGAGCCUUUAAUCGUGAAUUUCCAGGAAGAGGAUAGAGAUAUAACCUCUAAAAUAUCUGGUGUUCCUUUGGCAAGAAAUCUUUGGAGCCACAGGUUCAUCUUUCUCACGGAUGCCUAACUUGGAUACAUGAUGGCCGUUUGAAUUCUUAUUUGGAGAAAUAACCCAGCGUGCUUUUUCAGGUUUAAGAAAUACCUAACAGGUCCACAAUUCAAGCUGGGGAGGAGAAAAGGAGAAGCAUACAAUGACUAUCCA